UCAUGGAUUUUAGAGAUUAGGGCUUGAGAUUUUGAUGGAGAGCAAGAGGAAGAUGGUUUUGAUCAAGGAUGUACUGAGAGAAUGUGUUUGUCCUAAAAUUUGAGGUAGAAAUCUAAGAUUUUUGGAUGAUUAAGGGGAUGGAUUUGUGGGAUUGUGGCUGGUGGAGAGCUUGGAGAAGGAUUUCAGUAUGGGAUGAGAAGAGAAGGAAGAAGCAUAGUACUUGAGUCACCCCAGUUAGGUUUUAAGAGAGAAAU
RNAcentral lists this long non-coding RNA (254 nucleotides) under Elaeis guineensis (African oil palm). RNAcentral describes it as "long non-coding RNA (EGUI_LNC002073)". Lineage: Eukaryota; Viridiplantae; Streptophyta; Magnoliopsida; Arecales; Arecaceae. The record is from RNAcentral.